Mycena galopus ATCC 62051 is the source of this 100-nucleotide non-coding RNA. Lineage: Eukaryota; Fungi; Basidiomycota; Agaricomycetes; Agaricales; Mycenaceae. The record is from the annotation of a GenBank genome assembly.
GCAUUAAUGGGGUAGUGGUAACCUGGGUCGUUGCCAUCAAAAAGGUGUCGAUUCGUCGAACUUACUCGACCCGCCGGGGGUUCGAUUCCCUCUUAAUACA